RNAcentral lists this ribosomal RNA (484 nucleotides) under uncultured bacterium. Its description in RNAcentral is "partial 16S ribosomal RNA". It matches the Rfam family "Bacterial small subunit ribosomal RNA", at positions 29 to 507 of the family's 1533-position model. The record is from RNAcentral.
AUUGAACGCUGGCGGCAUGCUUUACACAUGCAAGUCGAACGGCAGCGCGGGCUUCGGCCUGGCGGCGAGUGGCGAACGGGUGAGUAAUGCAUCGGAACGUGCCCAGUAGCGGGGGAUAGGCCGGCGAAAGCCGGAUUAAUACCGCAUACGACCUGAGGGUGAAAGCGGGGAAGCGAAAGGCCUCGCGCCAUUGGAGCGGCCGAUGUCGGAUUAGCUAGUUGGUGGGGUAAAGGCUUACCAAGGCGACGAUCCGUAGCUGGUCUGAGAGGACGACCAGCCACACUGGGACUGAGACACGGCCCAGACUCCUACGGGAGGCAGCAGUGGGGAAUUUUGGACAAUGGGCGCAACCCUGAUCCAGCCAUGCCGCGUGCGGGAAGAAGGCCUUCGGGUUGUAAACCGCUUUUGUUCGGGAAGAAAUCCUCUGGGCUAAUACCCCGGGGGGAUGACGGUACCGGAAGAAUAAGCACCGGCUAACUACGUG